Molecule: unclassified non-coding RNA, 6444 nt
Filed under: Hevea brasiliensis (rubber tree)
Lineage: Eukaryota; Viridiplantae; Streptophyta; Magnoliopsida; Malpighiales; Euphorbiaceae
Source: RNAcentral
CAAGUGUCCACGGCCUUAUUCUCAGUUUCUCACCACUCCACAGAAGCCGAAAAGGGAGGAGAAACAAAAAACAGAAGCCACAACUGAACCAAAAUGGGAGUCCAUGGUCUGUGGGACCUUCUUGCUCCCGUCGGCCGCCGUGUAUCCGUCGAAACCCUCUCCGGCAAAAAGCUUGCAAUCGAUGCGAGUAUAUGGAUUGUCCAGUUCAUGAAGGCGAUGAGAGACGAGAAGGGAGAGAUGGUACGGAGCGCACAUUUGCUAGGGUUCUUUCGUCGAAUUUGCAAGCUCUUGUAUUUGAGGACUAAGCCAGUGUUCGUCUUCGAUGGUGCCACCCCCGCUCUCAAGCGGCGUACCGUGAUUGCCCGACGGAGGCAGCGUGAGAAUGCCCAGGCUAAGAUUCGCAAAACCGCCGAGAAAUUGCUCCUUAAUCACCUCAAGACGAUGAGGCUAAAAGAAUUGGCAAAGGAUCUUGAGAAUCAGAGAAAAAAGCAGAAGAAGGAUUCUAAAGGUAUGAAGAUUUUGUCGGAUCAAACCCAAGAGGAGGAGAGGAAUCUGGAGAAUAGUGGUGUGGAGAGUUAUGAUCAAGAAAAGUUGGAUGAAAUGUUGGCAGCAACUAUUGCGGCUGAGGAAGAUAGUCAUUUAAAUAACAACACAUCAACGUCUGCUGCUGCAUUUCCUGCUGUGCAGGCAGAGGAUAGUGAUGAAAAUGAAGAGAUCAUAUUGCCAGCAUUGGGUGGUAAUGUUGAUCCAGCUGUCUUGUCUGCUUUGCCUCCAUCAAUGCAACUUAAUCUUAUGAUGAGACAGAGUUCAAUGGUGGAAAACAGAAAAGAUAAUAAAAAAGUCAAGGAUAUCGGAUACCAGGAGGAGGAUCAAAAGAGUAAUGCAAAUGGUAAGGAGCCUUUGUUAGAUCUAACCAAUACAGAAGGGAGUAAUGUAGAGAGGAGUGAUGUGGCAGCAGAGUGUUACAACCAGGAAAAGUUAGAUGAAAUGUUGGCAGCAUCUAUUGCGGUUGAGGAAGAUGAAAGUUUAACUAAGAGUGCCUCAACAUCUGCUGCUGCAAUUCCUUUUGAGGAGGGAAGUGGAGAUGAAAACGAAGAAAUGGUCCUGCCAGCAAUGUGUAGAAAAGUUGAUCCAGCUGUCUUAGCAGCUUUGCCACCAUCAAUGCAACUCGAUCUUCUUGUUCAGAUGAGAGAGAGGUUGAUGGCUGAAAAUAGACAAAGGUAUCAGAAAGUCAAGAAGGCACCUGAAAAAUUUUCUGAGCUACAAAUAGAGGCUUACCUUAAAACUGUUGCUUUCCGCCGGGAAAUAGAUCAAGUGCAGAAAGCUGCUGCUGGGACGGAUGUAGGUGGUGUUCAGACUUCACGGAUAGCUUCUGAAGCCAACAGAGAAUUUAUCUUCUCAUCAUCCUUUACAGGAGACAAACAAUUGUUUACAUCUGCUGGAAUGCAGAGAAAUGGAAAUGAGCAACAACAGAUGCCAAUAGGGUAUUGUCCUUCAGAUUCUGUGGAUCAUGUUGCAUCCACUAGCAAGUCCAAUACUAUUACAGGAAUGUUGCAGGAUGAAUCUACAAGGGUGUUUGAUGAAGAUGUUGAGACAUAUCUAGAUGAAAGGGGUAAUAUUCGAGUUAGUAGAGUGAGAGCUAUGGGGAUGCGCAUGACCCGUGAUUUGCAAAGGAACUUGGAUUUAAUGAAAGAAAUUGAACAAGAGAGAACAUGUGCAAUGAAGAGCGCAAGUGCUCAGUCUGAGCUUAAUAAAGAGAAUAUUGGUUCUUCAGAAAGAAUUUCCAGUAAAAAACAUCAUAUAAAAAAUUCACAUGGUGAAUUGAAUAAUAGAAAUGGGCAGUCCAGCUUAGAUAAUGAGAGAUCCAUAAAUAUAUCUUUUGAUGUUGAUGUUGAUGGUGAAAGUAAGUGUUUUGACAGUGAUGACAACAUAUUUACUUCUUUGGUAGCAGGAAAACCUGUUAAGAUUGAUUCUGCUUCAGAUAGUGAUUGGGAGGAAGGGAGUAUUGAAGGAAGAGAUAAUAAUUCUUCUAAUGAUAUGGCAUUAGAAACUAAUCCUCCCCCUCGUCCUAAGGAAAGCAACAUUAGUGAUGAUAGUGAAGUGGAUUGGGAAGAGGGAGUUUGUGAUGUUCAUGAUUCCUCACUCCCAUCUGAAUCAGGAAGAAUAGCUUCCAGAGGUUAUUUGGAGGAGGAGGCUGAUUUGCAAGAAGCAAUACGGAGAAGUCUUGAGGGUUUGGGGUGUGAAAAAUUAAAUCAAGAACCAUCUGAGCUUGAAAAUUUAAUAAGCACCAAGGUAAAUACUCACAACAGUGUCAUAUUCAUUGACCAAGAAGAUAAUGCUGGUGGGCGAAUUCUUGUUGAGAAGGAUGUCUCCCAACAAAAUAAACCCUCUCCUGAAAUUUUGGCAUUUGGGAAGCUUGACAGCAUGGGUCAAAAUGAUGUCUCAAAGGUCUAUUCUUCUUCAGAUAGGCAGUUGAAGGCUGAAACACAUUAUCCUCCUAACAUGGGUGUCCUAACAAAUAAAUCAUGUACAAGAAAUCUGGGUUCAAAUGCUGGACAAUCAAAUGAAGAUAAAAAUAUAGGGAGCAAUCUGUGCAGAGAAAUGCCAUCUGCGGAAACAGCUGCUCCUUUGGAAGUAAAGGAUGUACAUGUGAUGGUGGAGCAGUUUUCAGAUACUUUUGUUGGGGAUAUUGGGUUAUCUACAAGUAAAAUGUAUUCAGGUGAUGGUUCUCAUGUUUCUGGAGCAUUAUCCGGUAAGAUGUCUUCUUCUAUACCAGUUAAUGAUGAACUAAAUGAAAUGGAAGCAGAACCAUCCAUGUUGGUCAAUGAGGAGAGAAAACCUGAACCAUCACGUCAGCCAGUUGAAAUAUCCAAGUCCAACCCUUCCAUACAUAUCACUGGCCUAUCCAAUGAUUCAACAAUUGGCACUGAUAUUGAAGCCAAUUUGGUUGGAAAAAAAAUUUCUGAUUAUGAUUUAGAUGAAAAAGAGCAUUACAUGAACGAAUUUGCAAGAAAUGAGAAUCUGCAGGCUGGCAUGUCAGAGGCCAGUUUGCGGGAGGAAAUAUUGACUCUUGGUCAAGAAUUUACGAAUCUAGGAGAUGAACAGAAGAAGCUGGAACGCAAUGCAGAAUCAGUUAGCGGUGAGAUGUUUGCAGAAUGCCAGGUCUAUGCUCCUACUUCAGGAUGACUUAUUUCCAUCACAUGGUUAUAAUAUGAAUAUGCUGAUUGACUAUUUCUUAAUAUGGUUUCCAUCAUAUGAUUUUCUAUCCAUUAUUCUCUUAACCUCAGACAAAUGACACCAGGGCAAAUGAUCAAUUCUUUUGCAGGCUUUACCUUUCACUUGCAAGUGUUGCAAACGAAAUUAUUAAUCUUCUUGGUUGUCUUAUCCUAAAUGGAUAAUUUUGUGUCUACAUGAAAUGGUUGAACAACAUUAUAGUGUACUAUUAUGUAUAUAUAUAGUUCAAUGAUCUCCUAAAAGGGAAAUGAAGUUCAACAUUUUGAUAUAUUGUUUCCCAUUGUUUACAUAUUUUAAAUAUUUUGUUAAAAUUUCUAAUCUAGAUCGAAAUCCUUCUAUAUUAUCAUCCUCAAUCAUUGUUUGCAAUGAUAAAAAAUGCCUCAGGAUUUUUGGGUUUCUACUUUCAAUCUUUACAUUCUUUGCAUUGGAUGAAGCUGAAGGAUAAUCUACUGUGAAUUUGUUAUCAUAACAUUUAAACUAUAAAAGUUUAGCUUGUUUGUUUAUGAGAGUAGUUUGAUUUCUGAGGCCAUCUUAUUGGGCUAUGGUUUUCUGUUUGAAUGUCAAUCAUUGGAUCAAGAAUAGCUGUUUUGUGAAGCACACAGAUCUUUAUUUGUCAAGUGAUCAUUAUUGGUUCUUUGGAAAAAGUGAAACUGAUAUUAUUUACGUGUUCUAUUAUAUGCAGGAACUGCUGCAGAUGUUUGGCUUACCAUAUAUUAUAGCACCAAUGGAAGCAGAGGCUCAAUGUGCUUACAUGGAGCUUGCAAAUCUUGUUGAUGGUGUUGUGACUGAUGAUUCUGAUGUGUUCUUGUUUGGGGCACGAAGCGUGUACAAGAAUAUAUUUGAUGACCGCAAAUAUGUUGAAACAUACUACAUGAAGGUGUGCAAUAGCAGAAUGAUUGAAGUCUCUGCUUUCCUCUUCCCCCUCCCCCUCCCUCUCCCAAACAUCCCUGGGAUUCUUUUCAGUAUCACCUGCAAUUAUUAUCUGCAUAAAGUUCCUUUUAUGAUUCUAAUUUUCUCCUAAAAUUUAACAAUUUUUAUGGUGUUUGAUAUUGUGGCAUGAAUAUGCAAUUUAAAUAAUUUUCUUUUUACUAGACAAGCCUCUAACCUUAAUACCUUGGGAUUCUUUAUGUUUUCUCUUUUAAGCUCAUGCAUUCUUGUUUCUCAGGAUAUUGAAAAGGAACUAGGCCUAACCAGGGAAAAACUAAUUCGCAUGGCUCUACUUCUUGGAAGUGAUUAUACCGAGGGUAUUAGUGGGAUUGGCAUUGUUAAUGCUAUUGAAGUAGUGAAUGCAUUUCCUGAAGAGGAUGGCCUUAAGAAAUUCCGAGAGUGGAUUGAGUCCCCAGAUCCAACCAUUCUGGAAAAGUUUGGUGCGCAAAAUGGUUCAGGUGUGACAAAAAGAGGGUCAAAAGUUGGUGACGAUGAUACAAAUUGUGCAAAUAGCAAUGUGGAUGGAAUUAAUUCAUUUGGCCAGAACAUUCCUCAAGGUCAUGAGCAAGACCAAUCUGCAGAUUACUUUCAAGAGAUAAAGCAGGUUUUCAUGGAUAAGCAUAGAAAUGUGAGCAAGAACUGGCAUGUUCCUUCGUCUUUUCCCGGUGAAGCAGUCAUUUCUGCAUAUUCUAGUCCACAAGUGGACAAAUCAACGGAGCCUUUCACAUGGGGAAAGCCAGAUCUUCAAGUUCUUCGCAGAUUAUGCUGGGAAAAAUUUGGUUGGGGUAUUCAGAAGUCAGAUGAAUUGCUAUUGCCUGUUCUUAAAGAGUACGACAAACAUGAGACUCAAUUACGGCUGGAAGCAUUUUACACUUUCAAUGAAAGAUUUGCAAAAAUACGCAGCAAGAGAAUUAAGAAAGCUGUUAAAGGGAUCACAGGAAAUCUAUCAUCAGAGUUGAUGGAUGAUGAUGUGAAUUCUAAAAGCAGAAGGAAAGGAACAAUUAGGCCUGGUGAAUCUGGUGAUACCAAACCAGAGAGACCUUCCAAGAGAGCAAAGGGAGGUAGCAAUAAGAUCAAAUCUUUGGAAAAUUCUACUACAAGGUGGCCUAGGAAAAGGACCACUGGAGCAUCUGUUUCAUCUGAAGUGGAGAAUCCAGGAAAACAGUGGCAGGCGGAAAGCAGGCAAAGCAACCAUAAAGGAUCCCGUGGGGUUGGAAGAGGUAAAGGAAGAGGUAGAGGCUGUGGAAGAGGAAAAGGAAGGGCAAGAGGAACUCUUGGAUUUGAGCAAUCUGAUUCGAGCCCUGAUGAUGUCAGUGGUGGUGGAGAUGAUGAGCUGGAAGUUGAUGCAGAGAAGUCAGAGAGGCCACAAGAAGUACGAAGGUCAUUGCGCUCGCGGAAGCCAGCAAGUUACACUGUUGAUGACUUGGAAAUUGAUGACGUGGACAAGUCACUACACCAGGGUGAUACAAGGUUGAAUGAGGAAGUGCUAGAAGCAGGUAUAUCUGGAGUUCAAGGGGAAUGUAAAAGUGCCGAUGCUAGCCUUAAUGGUGAGGAGCAGCAUAAAGUGGAAGAUUCUUUGCCUGAGGACUUCUCUGAACACUAUCUUGAACACGCAGUGGGAUUUUUAGCUGAUGAAGAUGGAAGUGGUCAGGCUGGUGUGGCCAAAAAUACUUACCCUUCUGAACCUGGUGUCUCUAAUGAUUACCUUGCAAUGGGAGGUGGGUUUUGCGUGGAUGAAAGUGACACAGGUACCUACCAAGAUGUAUGUCAUAGACCCUCCAUGGCUGCUGAAUGGGAAACCGUUGAUUCAUCCCACUUCACUGGUCUCAUGGAAGAAGCUGCUUCUGGUAAAAGUUCUUUUCAAUUAGUUUCUAGUGUCAAAAGAAGUUUGAACGAUAGCGAAGAUGGAGGAAAGACAAAUGCUUUUGAUACUGAGUUGAGUGGGGAUUGCAUAAAUGAGAGAGACACCGGUGAUCAUUCCAAACUAAGUUUGUCUCUGCCAGAAAGCACUGAAAACGAUGCUGGGGGGUCAAGUAUAAGAAGUCUGAGCGCAAUGCCUUUCUUGAAAAGAAAACGGAGAAAGAUUUGAAAACUACCCAGAAUUUAGGAUGAACCGGAUGUAUUUUCCCUGUAAAUAUUCUUAUUUAUCUGGUUUUUGUAAUUCUCCUCCUCGCUUCUUUCUGAUUGAGAUUGUUAUAUAUUAACUUUAAUAUUUCUAUGCGGAACUUUAUGAUUUAUUAAUUGUUUUGCUCUUUAUGUACUCUGAUUCGAUCUUAUUUUAUG